Molecule: unclassified non-coding RNA, 4236 nt
Filed under: Cimex lectularius (bed bug)
Lineage: Eukaryota; Metazoa; Arthropoda; Insecta; Hemiptera; Cimicidae
Description: protein retinal degeneration B, transcript variant X2
Source: RNAcentral
CCAAGUGAAGGGGGGCUGACGGGAUGUUAUGUUGGCAGCAUAGCGAGUGGGGGCGGCGAAUCGGACCUGGGUUUAGCCCAGUUCGCCACCAGGCUACAGCCAUUGCGUUUCGCCCCUUUUUCCAGCCCUUGUAAACAAGUUGAAAGUUGGACGUUUUUGGGCUGAAAAUUCCAACGAUUUUGGCCGGUAGUAUUUUAAACCCGACGCCAGAACGGUUUACCCUCAACCAAGUAAACUUGACACUGGUCCAAAGACGGAUUUAGACUAUUCGUAUAUGGAUAGUGUAUUGAUUUUUUUUCCCAGCUACUGAUAUUACAAAUGAUUUCUGACUUCAUAUCCUCAACAAAAGAUGAAUAGAUUUUGACAGGAAGAGAGCAUUAAAACAGCAGAUAUUACACCGAUGCCAUAUUGCCUUUAUGCCAGUGUUUGUACGAAUAGCACAAUAGAAAACAUCUGAUUCUACUACAACAAGGAAAAUGUUGUGACGAAGGACUGAACCAUGUUGAUAAAAGAGUACAGAAUUCCUCUUCCACUUACAGUGGAAGAAUAUCGCAUUGCCCAAUUGUAUAUGAUAGCAAAAAAAAGCAGAGAAGAAAGUAAAGGAGCUGGAAGUGGAAUAGAAAUUUUAGUCAACGAACCUUACUCAAAUGGACCAGGGGGCAAUGGCCAGUACACACAUAAAAGAUAUCAUGUUGGCAGUCACUUACCUGGAUGGCUCAAAAGCCUGCUGCCAAAGUCUGCGCUUAGCGUCGAAGAAGAGGCUUGGAAUGCAUAUCCCUACACUAAAACAAGAUACACGUGUCCAUUUGUUGAGAAAUUGCUACUUGAAAUCGAGACUUACUAUUUCGCUGACAAUGGACACCAGGAAAAUGUGUUCAGUUUAACUGGAAGCGACCUUCGCAACAGGAUAGUUGAUGUCAUUGAUGUCGUCAAAGAUCAACUCCAAGGUGGAGAUUAUGUCAGAGAAGAAGAUCCAACAGUUUACGUGUCUCAGAAAACUGGCAGAGGGCCGUUACAAGAAACCUGGCUUCAAGAUUAUUGGAAUGAAUGCAAGGGAAAGGAUAUGCCUUUACCUAAUGGAAAAUCUAUAAUGUGUGCAUAUAAAUUAUGUAAAGUGGAGUUUAGAUACUGGGGUAUGCAAACAAAGUUGGAAAGAUUUAUUCACGACGUUGCACUUAGGAAAACCAUGCUACGUGCUCAUCGUCAAGCAUGGGCGUGGCAGGAUGAAUGGCAUGGACUUACAAUGGAUGAUAUAAGACAGAUAGAAAGACAGACACAAGAAGCGCUUAAAAUGACAAUGGCAGGUGGGAGCGAAAGCAGCGGAGAAGAUGGGACUAUAUCGGCAGGAGACAGUGGGAGCAAUACCCUUGCAGCCAAUCUUGGGAGUAUUGAAAAACCUGAGGGUGAUUCUGCCAGUCCACUAGCCAAGCAUCGUGUUAUGUCUGAAUCAGAGACUCGCGCUGAAGUCAGCCCUGAUGUUUCUCCAAAACUGAACCAAAGGGCUAGCGAUGAAAGAAAAAGGCUUUGGAGCAAUUCAAAGAACAGUCUACCAUCUCCUACAUCUUCACAGAGGUUUGAACUUGCUGCUGCCAGUUGGAGGAUGGAAAGUAUUGUCAGAGAUUCUGAUUCACCGAGUGAAGAGGACGAUGAAUUUUUUGAUUGUCAAGAAGAGUCUAUGUCCCUAGCUACAUGGACAUCCUUGGAGGUCCUAAAUGAAGAAGAUUUGGAUUCUUCCCCUCCUGUUAUUGUUGAGACUCAUGAUGACAGCAUUUUCUCACAACGUUACCUCAAAUCUUCUAUGUCAGAAAGAGGUAGAAGCAUAGACACUAUUUACCCAGGAUCUCCAACCUUGUCAAUAUCAACUGUUAAUCAAGGAAGAGAAUCUCCAAUUACAAUCCUAAUGCUCGUCCUUCAUGCUGGGAGUGUUUUAGAUGCAAAUAUUGAACUGACAGCCAAGAAAUCAGAUUCAACAACAUUCAGAGGUGGUUUAGAAGCUGUCAUGAGAUCCCAUUAUGCAAAUAUGAUUGGGCAUGUUGCUGUAAGACUUGUAUCGUGUCCGGCACUUUGCACCGAUACCUUAAGUAUCCUUUCAGGGCUGAGCCCUUAUAGCUUUGACGUUUCACCUAGCCUUUGCGAUACAACUCACGUCACAAACGACUCGGUGCCCCUUGGCUCGAUACCGAUAAUGUCGACUUGCACCCCGGAGUACAGCGAUGCAGUCACAAAGACGGUCCAGACAGCAAACACGGCUUACCUUGAUUUCAUAAGAUCUGAAGAAGGAAGUGGUUUCUGUGGACAAGUUGUACUAAUUGGAGAUUCGAUGGGUUCCAUUCUUGCUUUUGAUGCACUCUGCAGGUCAGGGGAAGGGAAGAUGGAAAACGAAGAAAAUGAAAAUAUAGAAGUGACAGUAGAUGGGAAACAUUUGGUCGCUCCAAUUCCAAGAAGAAGAUCAUCAUCAACAAGUGAACAUAGCCAUUUGCCUCGAUUGGAAUUUGAAGUGAGUGAAUUAUUCAUGUUUGGAAGUCCCCUUGCGCUUGUAUUGGCUUAUAGGAAAAUAUCCACUGAUGACAAAACAAGUUCAAUUCCACGGCCUGCUUGUGGGCAAGUUUAUAAUUUAUUCCACCCGACGGACCCAGCAGCAGCGAGACUGGAACCCCUGAUCUCAGCUAGGUUCUCAAUGAUCCCCCCUGUGAACAUCCCAAGGUUUCAGAAGUAUCCUCUGGGCAAUGGCCAGCCAUAUCAUCUUUUGGAAAUUGUACAAAGCAACCCACAAAUCUUCACGGAUAACUUAUCAGUCGGUGGGCCUUCAAGUAUAUCCCACCUACGGAGGUUGUCCGAAGUCAGCAUUCAGAGCACUAUUUCUGGAGUGGUCGAUUCAUUGCCUCUACACACAAUAAAUGCUUUAACACAAAAAUGGUGGGGAACCAAGAGAUUAGACUACGCUUUAUAUUGUCCUGAAGGCCUAGCCAAUUUUCCAACAAACGCUUUGCCCCAUCUCUUUCACGCUAGCUACUGGGAGUCUUCGGACGUCAUUGCUUUCAUCCUGAGACAGGUCGGUCGGUUUGAGUUCGGUGGCCCGAUUGGAGCUGAGGAGAAAGACAUCUCAGGAUUUCACCCAAGCCAGCCUAGAGAAAAAUGGAUCCGCAAACGCACCUCUGUCAAGCUCAAGAAUGUUACUUCAAAUCAUCGAGCAAAUGAUGUUAUAGUAAAAGAAGGAGCAAAACAGUCUAUGACUGCACGUUUUAUGUAUGGCCCCUUCGAUAUGAUUACACUUGCAGGUGAGAAAGUUGACAUUCAUGUCAUGAAUGAUUCAACAACUGGAGAAUGGACGCUUUUGAGUACUGAAGUCACUGACAAAACUGGACGUAUUACAUACACUAUACCUGAUAAUAAAGCACUUGGCUAUGGUGUUUAUCCAGUAAAAAUGGUUGUGAGGGGUGAUCAUACUCAUGUCGACUUUUCCCUAGCAGUUGUGCCACCUAAGACUGAGUGUGUUGUUUUUAGCAUUGACGGCUCAUUUACCGCGAGUGUUUCUGUUACUGGAAGAGACCCAAAAGUCAGAGCAGGUGCAGUUGACGUUGCAAGACAUUGGCAAGAGCUUGGCUUUUUAAUAAUAUAUAUAACUGGAAGGCCUGAUAUGCAACAGGCAAAGGUGCUCGCUUGGUUGUCACAACAUAACUUUCCACAUGGCCUCGUUUCAUUUGCCGAUGGUCUUUCGACAGACCCACUUGGACACAAGGCUGUUUAUCUGAAAUCACUUAUCCAAGAACAUCAAGUGAUUAUCCAUGCAGCCUAUGGGAGUAGCAAGGACAUUUCUGUCUAUAGCUCGAUCGGACUGCGACCUCAACAGAUCUUCAUUGUCGGCAAAGUGUCAAAAAAACACCACAUUCAAGCAACGGUGCUGAGCGACGGGUAUGCAGCCCAUCUGGCAUCCUUAAUGUCGCACGGCGGAUCAAGACCGGCACAAGGAAAUGCCCGAAUGGUCCUUAUACCACGGACCGGAUUUGGUCACAGUGCUUCAAUAAGAAGAAGAAGAUGCGGAAGUGGAUUGGUAGCAAAGCGUACUGAAGUUUGAGAUAUUCGAAGAUAAAUUAUUUGUCCAGAGUCACUUUAAAACCUAAGCGAUUUUUAACGAGUGGAACUCAUGUCUGAGAUCUGCCAAAAGGACGACAUCAUUCCCUUUAUCUCCUCUUCCUACUGCUACAAUAGGAAAGGAUAGGAAACACGAAAAACUGU